RNAcentral lists this ribosomal RNA (293 nucleotides) under uncultured bacterium. RNAcentral describes it as "partial 16S ribosomal RNA". It matches the Rfam family "Bacterial small subunit ribosomal RNA", at positions 505 to 796 of the family's 1533-position model. The record is from RNAcentral.
GUGUCAGCCGCCGCGGUAAUACGUAGGGGGCGAGCGUUGUCCGGAUUUAUUGGGCGUAAAACGCUCGUAGGUGGCCACGCCAAGUCGGAUGUGAAAUCUCCCGGCUUAACUGGGAGGGGUCAUUCGAUACUGGCGGGCUCGAGGCAGGUAGGGGGAAGCGGAAUUCCCGGUGUAGUGGUGGAAUGCGUAGAUAUCGGGAGGAACACCAGUGGCGAAGGCGGCUUCCUGGACCUGUUCUGACACUGAGGAGCGAAAGCGUGGGGAGCGAUCCGGAUUAGAUACCCCCGUAGUCC